GGGGGUAUAGCUCAGUGGUAGAGCACCUGCCUAGCAUGCACGAGGUCCUGGGUUCAAUCCCCAGUACCACCG
This 72-nucleotide transfer RNA is filed under the name Vicugna pacos (alpaca). Its description in RNAcentral is "tRNA-Ala (AGC) (tRNA-Ala-AGC-699-1)". It matches the Rfam family "tRNA". From Rfam's summary of the family: Transfer RNA (tRNA) molecules are approximately 80 nucleotides in length. The record is from Rfam by way of RNAcentral. Lineage: Eukaryota; Metazoa; Chordata; Mammalia; Artiodactyla; Camelidae.